GACGAACGCUGGCGGCGUGCUUAACACAUGCAAGUCGAACGGAAAGGCCCUGCUUUUGUGGGGUGCUCGAGUGGCGAACGGGUGAGUAACACGUGGGUAACCUGCCCUUGACUUUGGGAUAACUUCAGGAAACUGGGGCUAAUACCGGAUAGGAGCUCCUGCUGCAUGGUGGGGGUUGGAAAGUUUCGGCGGUUGGGGAUGGACUCGCGGCUUAUCAGCUUGUUGGUGGGGUAGUGGCUUACCAAGGCUUUGACGGGUAGCCGGCCUGAGAGGGUGACCGGCCACAUUGGGACUGAGAUACGGCCCAGACUCCUACGGGAGGCAGCAGUGGGGAAUAUUGCACAAUGGGCGGAAGCCUGAUGCAGCAACGCCGCGUGCGGGAUGACGGCCUUCGGGUGGUAAACCGCUUUCGCCUGUGACGAAGCGUGAGUGACGGUAAUGGGUAAAGAAGCACCGGCUAACUGCGU
This 467-nucleotide ribosomal RNA is filed under the name uncultured bacterium. RNAcentral's name for it is "partial 16S ribosomal RNA". It matches the Rfam family "Bacterial small subunit ribosomal RNA", at positions 28 to 506 of the family's 1533-position model. The record is from RNAcentral.